CACCCCAUGGGUGCCAGCCGUGUCACGUGGCCGUCCCCAGGACUCGUACCUGCUCCAGUACUUCUCGGACCUGAACCAGUACCUGGCCGUGGGUGUCCCCACCUACUUUGUCACCACCGGUGGCUUCGACUUCUCCUCCCCGAACGGCACCAACGCCAUCUGCUCCAGCGCCGGCUGCGACGACGACUCGCUCACGCAGACCAUCCAGAUGGCCACGCGCUUCCCCAACGUGUCCUACCUGGCCAUCCCGGCCACCUCGUGGGUGGACGAUUUCCUGGACUGGCUGAACCCCAUGGGGCCGUGCUGCCGCGUCUACCAGUGUGAGGAGCUCCAGGGCGAGUUCUGCCCCGCCACCGGCAGUGAGUGCGGGGCACGGGGGCUACUCCGUGGUGGCCGCUGUGUGCCCACCAUGGUGGUCCUUGGGUGGCCAUUGCAUGCCCACCGUGGUGGCCAUUGUGUGCCCACCGUGGUGGUCCUUGGGUGGCCAUUGCAUGCCCACCGUGGUGGUCCUGGCGAUCCAUUCAGUGACCAUUGAUGGGGACCAUUGGGUGCCCACCAUGGUGGUCCUUGGGUGUCUGUUGGGUGCCCAUCAUGGUGGCCAUUGGGUGGCCAUUGGGUGCCCACUGUGGUAGCCAUUGGGUGGCCAUUGGGUGGCCAUUGGGUGCCCACUGUGGUAGCCAUUGGGUGGCCAUUGGGUGCCCACCAUGGUGG
Molecule: long non-coding RNA, 711 nt
Filed under: Parus major (Great Tit)
Lineage: Eukaryota; Metazoa; Chordata; Aves; Passeriformes; Paridae
Description: lncRNA (ENSPMJG00000003551.1)
Source: RNAcentral